Molecule: non-coding RNA, 372 nt
Organism: Chinchilla lanigera (long-tailed chinchilla)
Lineage: Eukaryota; Metazoa; Chordata; Mammalia; Rodentia; Chinchillidae
Source: the annotation of a RefSeq genome assembly
AUGGGGUCAAAGGCUCCCCUGCUAUGGAUGCUGCUGCUUUUGGUUACAGGCUCCACUGGGGACGUUGGGCUGACUCAGUCUCCAGCCUCCUUGACUGUGUCUCCAGGGGAGAAGACCAGCAUCUUCGGCAGCACCAGCCAGCGUGUUAAUAAAUUUGGUAUAGAGCUUAUGCACUGGUAUCAACAUAAGCCUGGACAGCCUCCCAAACUGCUGAUCUAUAGAGCAUACAAUCGAGAGUCUGGGGUGCCAGACCGGUUCAGUGGCAGUGAGUGUGGGACACACUUCACCCUCACCAUCCACCCUGUGGAGGCCAAGGAUGCUUUGAACUGUUACUGUCAGCAGGGGAGAGAGCUUCCUUCCACAGUGCUCUAG